Molecule: ribosomal RNA, 664 nt
Filed under: Pseudomonas sp. NO4
Lineage: Bacteria; Pseudomonadati; Pseudomonadota; Gammaproteobacteria; Pseudomonadales; Pseudomonadaceae
Description: bacterial SSU rRNA
Rfam family: Bacterial small subunit ribosomal RNA
Source: RNAcentral
GAGAGUUUGAUCCUGGCUCAGAUUGAACGCUGGCGGCAGGCCUAACACAUGCAAGUCGAGCGGAUGAAAGGAGCUGCUUCCUGGAUUCAGCGGCGGACGGGUGAGUAAUGCCUAGGAAUCUGCCUGGUAGUGGGGGACAACGUUUCGAAAGGAACGCUAAUACCGCAUACGUCCUACGGGAGAAAGCAGGGGACCUUCGGGCCUUGCGCUAUCAGAUGAGCCUAGGUCGGAUUAGCUAGUUGGUGAGGUAAUGGCUCACCAAGGCGACGAUCCGUAACUGGUCUGAGAGGAUGAUCAGUCACACUGGAACUGAGACACGGUCCAGACUCCUACGGGAGGCAGCAGUGGGGAAUAUUGGACAAUGGGCGAAAGCCUGAUCCAGCCAUGCCGCGUGUGUGAAGAAGGUCUUCGGAUUGUAAAGCACUUUAAGUUGGGAGGAAGGGUUGUAGAUUAAUACUCUGCAAUUUUGACGUUACCGACAGAAUAAGCACCGGCUAACUCUGUGCCAGCAGCCGCGGUAAUACAGAGGGUGCAAGCGUUAAUCGGAAUUACUGGGCGUAAAGCGCGCGUAGGUGGUUCGUUAAGUUGGAUGUGAAAUCCCCGGGCUCAACCCUGGGAACUGCAUCCAAAACUGGCGAGCUGGAGUAUGGUAGAGGGUGAAGGA